This 596-nucleotide long non-coding RNA is filed under the name Helianthus annuus (common sunflower). RNAcentral describes it as "sRNA HanXRQr2_Chr08g0325751". Lineage: Eukaryota; Viridiplantae; Streptophyta; Magnoliopsida; Asterales; Asteraceae. The record is from RNAcentral.
UUCAAAAUACGUGUCUUCUUCAUAUCCCCAAUACAAGUUCACUUUCUUUCCCUCCCAUGGCUUCACCACCGACAAUUAACCUCAUCUGGGUAGUCUUCUCCAGCGUACCCAUCGGAGAUCCCUGCUAUUCUUAGAACAUCACAGCUAACAGAACUUGAAGACGAUUGUUGCAGAAUAGGUCAAAAUUAGGGUUUGUAUUUUUUCAAAACAAACAGAGAUUAUGAGCACCUCCGUACAAUUUCCAGAAUAAAAAAUCGUGACCACCAUCUUCAACCAAACAGAGCACACGAUGGCGACGACCAACGGUGACACCCAUAUUUGUUGUUGCUAGCACGGUCUAAUAUUAAGGACUACCAUAACUACACAGUUGCACGCGUGCUGUUCUUGCGCAUAUGGGCGGAACAUUAUGGGGAUCUAUGAGGCACAUUAUACCAGCUUCCACAUCAACACUUAGCACCCCCGCUGCAACGCGGGGGGUGCUUCCUUCUAGUUGUUAGCUAAUUUUGACGUUAGAUUUUUCAAAUGUUUAGCUUAGUUCACUACUUCACUAUAUUAACCAACUAAUAUUAUCACCUACACAUAUUGUCGUUUGCAUU